AACGAACGCUGGCGGCAGGCUUAACACAUGCAAGUCGAACGCCCCGCAAGGGAGUGGCGGACGGGUGAGUAACGCGUGGGAACGUGCCUCGAGGUUCGGAAUAACCGAGGGAAACUUCGGCUAAUACCGGAUGAGCCCGAAAGGGGAAAGAUUCAUCGCCUCGAGAGCGGCCCGCGUUGGAUUAGCUAGUUGGUGGGGUAACGGCCUACCAAGGCUUCGAUCCAUAGCUGGUCUGAGAGGACGACCAGCCACACUGGGACUGAGACACGGCCCAGACUCCUACGGGAGGCAGCAGUGGGGAAUUUUGGACAAUGGGCGAAAGCCUGAUCCAGCCAUGCCGCGUGCGGGAAGAAGGCCUU
This 359-nucleotide ribosomal RNA is filed under the name uncultured bacterium. Its description in RNAcentral is "bacterial SSU rRNA". It matches the Rfam family "Bacterial small subunit ribosomal RNA", at positions 29 to 418 of the family's 1533-position model. The record is from RNAcentral.